UUAGUUCAUAUUUGUAUGGAAUGGGAUCGUUUGCGUGCGUUUGCCGCUAGGGGCGCUGUUCCAACUGCAUACAAAAUUGGCUUA
RNAcentral lists this microRNA precursor (84 nucleotides) under Bombyx mori (domestic silkworm). Its description in RNAcentral is "mir-2807 microRNA precursor family". It matches the Rfam family "mir-2807 microRNA precursor family". Lineage: Eukaryota; Metazoa; Arthropoda; Insecta; Lepidoptera; Bombycidae. The record is from Rfam by way of RNAcentral.